UAGGGAAUCUUCCGCAAUGGACGCAAGUCUGACGGAGCAACGCCGCGUGAGUGAAGAAGGAUUUCGGUUCGUAAAACUCUGUUGUUAGAGAAGAACAGCGCAUAGAGUAACUGUUAUGCGUGUGACGGUAUCUAACCAGAAAGCCACGGCUAACUACGUGCCAGCAGCCGCGGUAAUACGUAGGUGGCAAGCGUUGUCCGGAUUUAUUGGGCGUAAAGCGAGCGCAGGCGGUCAAUUAAGUCUGAUGUGAAAGCCCCCGGCUCAACCGGGGAGGGUCAUUGGAAACUGGUUGACUUGAGUGCAGAAGAGGAGAGUGGAAUUCCAUGUGUAGCGGUGAUAUGCGUAGAUAUAUGGAGGAACACCAGUGGCGAAGGCGACUCUCUGGUCUGUAACUGACGCUGAGGCUCGAAAGCGUGGGUAGCAAACAGG
RNAcentral lists this ribosomal RNA (429 nucleotides) under Bacteroidota bacterium. RNAcentral describes it as "Bacteroidetes bacterium partial 16S ribosomal RNA". It matches the Rfam family "Bacterial small subunit ribosomal RNA", at positions 355 to 776 of the family's 1533-position model. Lineage: Bacteria; Pseudomonadati; Bacteroidota. The record is from RNAcentral.